AGCAGCCGCGGUAAUUCCAGCUCCAAUAGCGUAUAUUAAAGUUGUUGCAGUUAAAAAGCUCGUAGUUGAACUUCGGGGUUUACCCAUUGGUCAGGCUUAAUUGUCUGUACUGGUGAGAUAAAUCUCUACCUUCUGAGGAACUUUCAUGCCAUUUAGUUGGUGUGAUAGGAAAUCAGGACUGUUACUUUGAAAAAUUAGAGUGUUUAAAGCAGGCUAACGUCUGAAUACAUUAGCAUGGAAUAAUGAAAUAGGACGGAUUGGUUCUAUUUCGUUGGUUUCUAGGAUCACCGUAAUGAUUAAUAGGGAUAGUUGGGGGCAUUAGUAUUCAAUUGUCAGAGGUGAAAUUCUUGGAUUUAUUGAAGACUAACUAUUGCGAAAGCAUUUGCCAAGGAUGUUUUCAUUAAUCAAGAACGAAAGUUAGGGGAUCGAAGACGAUCAGAUACCGUCGUAGUCUUAACCAUAAACUAUGCCGACUAGGGAUCGGACGAAGU
Molecule: ribosomal RNA, 491 nt
Filed under: uncultured Diversispora
Lineage: Eukaryota; Fungi; Glomeromycota; Glomeromycetes; Diversisporales; Diversisporaceae
Description: SSU rRNA
Rfam family: Eukaryotic small subunit ribosomal RNA
Source: RNAcentral